This 253-nucleotide ribosomal RNA is filed under the name uncultured microorganism. RNAcentral describes it as "partial 16S ribosomal RNA". It matches the Rfam family "Bacterial small subunit ribosomal RNA", at positions 524 to 776 of the family's 1533-position model. The record is from RNAcentral.
UACGGAGGGGGCGAGCGUUGUUCGGAGUUACUGGGCGUAAAGCGCACGUAGGCGGUGCGGUAAGUCAGGGGUUAAAGGCUGCAGCUCAACUGCAGUAAGGCCUUUGAUACUAUCGCGCUAGAGUACCAGAGAGGAUGGCGGAAUUCCCGGUGUAGCGGUGAAAUGCGUAGAUAUAGGGAGGAACACCGGUUGCGAAGGCGGCUACCUGGCCGGUAACUGACGCUGAGGUGCGAGAGCGUGGGGAGCAAACAGG